This 245-nucleotide unclassified non-coding RNA is filed under the name Hevea brasiliensis (rubber tree). The record is from RNAcentral. Lineage: Eukaryota; Viridiplantae; Streptophyta; Magnoliopsida; Malpighiales; Euphorbiaceae.
GACUGACUGAAUAUAGGGUGGCUAGGAUCUAGUUGACCUGAUCGUGGCCGUUGAGUUAAACCAUCAACUGGAUAUCCCGCCCCAACUGUGAUGGAAGCUAAGCGAGUUGCCUCAUUUAAGCUGUAGAGCGUGUUAAUAAGCCUAAGCAGAAUUCCACUUUUUGCUGCUAUACGACAGAAACCAUUUCUAAGAGUGGAACGCUGGAGCUUAAAGAUCUGCCACAUUCCAUCAAUAGCUAGGUGAAC